GUAGGUGAACCUGCGGAAGGAUCAUUAACAAAAUCUACAACACUCACCCUGUUGAAAUGUAUCAUCUAUGGUAGAAGCCUUCUUUUGCCUCUUCUCGAAGAGGGGAGGGAGGGGAGGUGUCUACCAUACAAGCGUAUGCUCUCUCAAUGAAUAGAUGGUCAAAGGGAUCGUAGCCUCUUACUUGGGUAGAGGCCAUGAUAAUGGUGACCUUUGAUCUAUUCAUGAAGGGUCCUUUAGCAGAGGGUAGGCA
This 250-nucleotide unclassified non-coding RNA is filed under the name plant metagenome. RNAcentral describes it as "partial contains small subunit ribosomal RNA, internal transcribed spacer 1, and 5.8S ribosomal RNA". The record is from RNAcentral.